This 371-nucleotide unclassified non-coding RNA is filed under the name uncultured fungus. RNAcentral's name for it is "partial contains 5.8S ribosomal RNA and internal transcribed spacer 2". The stretch from base 1 to 133 matches the Rfam family "5.8S ribosomal RNA", at positions 22 to 154 of the family's 154-position model. The record is from RNAcentral. Lineage: Eukaryota; Fungi.
UGGCUCUCGCAUCGAUGAAGAACGCAGCGAAAUGCGAUACGUAAUGUGAAUUGCAGAAUUCAGUGAAUCAUCGAAUCUUUGAACGCACCUUGCACUCUUUGGUAUUCCGAAGAGUAUGUCUGUUUGAGUGUCAUGAAAUUCUCAACCCCCCUAUUUUGUAACGAGAUGGGAGUUAGGGCUUGGAUUAUGGCCGUAUGCCGGACCUUUAAGUAGGGCCAGCUCGGCUGAAAUACAUGAGCAGCGUACUUUGAAAAAGGCGGCUUGACUCGGCGUAAUAGCUUAUUCGCUGAGAACGUCUGUUCGAAAACAGCAGCUUCUAAUGCAAUACAUUUUAAGCUUUAGACCUCAAAUCAGUCAGGAUUACCCGCUGA